ACUCCUUUGACUAUAAAUACCCAUGAUCACCCACACCCACACCCAUAUCCCCAACCGAUCUUAAUAUUAUCUUAGAACUAAUUAAGUGGUUUGUUUGACCAAUGGAAAGUCAAAGCAGAUUGGUUGAAGUUAAAGGCAAAGAAAUACGAAGAGUUGUAAGCCUUCCACCAAGAAGAGGCGAAAUUAAAGCCAAAAUUCUUGGUCAUAUCAUCAAGGAAGUUAAAAUCUCUACAUCAAUGAAGACCCCAAAAUCUCUUUCUUCAUGUUGUUGAUUUUUUUUUUGAGGAUUGAUUGUUUGGAUAUCAUUUUACUUGAUUAUAUCUUACAAGUAGACAAUCUUUUAAUUUGUUAUAUUAAAUUAAGAAACCGGUUGUUUGUUUUCUGGCAGAUAAUCAUGUGUGCCCAAUUAGGAUCGAAAUAAAACUAUAAUGUAAUAUAUCUUAGUACUCAAGAGUCUUAACGUUUUUUCACUAAAUCAUGACUUUAAAAAAAUUAACAUAUAACUUUACUACUACACGUUGUUAUGGCUACCAUUCCUAUGCCAAAAUUUGGAGUUCUAAAAAAGAAUUAAAUUGGUAAAUCCCUAUCCCUGUCUAAUAAAAGAGUCUUGAUUUUGCCUCAUGUCACUUCCACAUCCAUAUUCCUUCAAACUGAAGUGACCAUAAUGCCCUUAUUUUGUUUAAAUUUCGUAGACAAAUAAUUUUCCACCGAUUUCAUUUAAGAUUAACAUAGUCGUGGUUGUCGCUGAAACCCCUACAUCAAAAAAAAACAUCGUCGUUUCCCUCUCUUCCCUUCCGCGCUUCUCCGUUUACGGAAUGAAGCAGCGACCAAUGUUGUUUCCUCAAAGAUUUGAAGCGGAUACAUCGAAGACAGGUUAACCUCGCUAUGUUGCUGAUAGUGUCAUGUUAGAUCUCUAUGUUGUUUGUAAGAUGGCAUUUUGUGGCAUGUUGUUUCUAGAAUCAGGUUAAAAUGUUUGGUGACAUUAAGUAAAAUGGGAGGAGCAUGAUUGGAUGACCCUACAAGGAAUCAAACAUCCUCUUACAUUUACAGGAGUUGAGGAAAGAUUGAAACUUUGGAAGUGCUCAAAAUAGACCCUUUGGUUUGUUAUGAAGUUCGCGAAAUCAUUCUUGCCAAGUAGUGUAGUGGUUUCAAAUGUGCCUACCGAGCAUAUUUUUGGGUUAGAUAAUUAAAUUCUCAAGCGUGUGGUGUUGGUUUUAAAAGUGAUUAAGGUUUAAUUUUUUAUUAUUAAAUUUUCUUGUUGUCAGAAUUUUAUUUAAUGGGCAUGGUAGAGUUUUAGAUGAAUAAAAGUUUGUGGUGGGAUCAUAAGUGGCUGCUUUUUUGGCAAUUGAGAUUAAACUGUGAAUGUUUAAAACAACCGAGAAAUAUACUAUCUUUGAAUGUGGUUUUA
Lactuca sativa (garden lettuce) is the source of this 1408-nucleotide long non-coding RNA. RefSeq lists it as uncharacterized. The record is from RefSeq and is a predicted model, not a curated record. NCBI's taxonomy places the organism in Eukaryota, Viridiplantae, Streptophyta, Magnoliopsida, Asterales, Asteraceae.